This 520-nucleotide unclassified non-coding RNA is filed under the name Hevea brasiliensis (rubber tree). The record is from RNAcentral. Lineage: Eukaryota; Viridiplantae; Streptophyta; Magnoliopsida; Malpighiales; Euphorbiaceae.
UAAAAAAAAAAAAAAAAAUCACAAAUGACUAGAGAUUAAAACAAACAAAAUAAUAAUGUGGACUCGAGUCCUUAUUCAUCUAUCUGCCCUAAAACCCAAAUCAACCAACAAUCUAAAGAGCCUUUCAACAGCUAGAUUCUGCUAUAAUCAUAUAGUGAAGGAGAAGCUUUGAUGAGGAAGAAUGACCAUAUUUGGCAGGACAUUAUAGAAUCAAACUCUUGUUGCAAAUAUUUACCAGGCCCCAAUAGUUAUGCACUUCCCUUGCAGCUUGAUUUUCCCUUUGUCUCAUGCCAAAGAAUACAUCUACCGAGAUAUGAGCCACACUCCUGCGCAUCCCAAAACUGUCCCUGCCUUCGGAAAAUGGGCGUUUGAAUCAGUUUUCACCGAACCAAACUCAUUGGUGGCAGAGACCAAUCUCAGAGAUGUGCAUUGAAGGUAAUCAAUACAGCCUGAUUCUAGUCUGUAUUGGGCUUCGACAUAUGGGGCAUGAUUGUAGGUCUUCUCCACACUCGCAACAAGU